GACGAACGCUGGCGGCGUGCUUAACACAUGCAAGUCGAACGGAAAGGCCCUGCUUUUGUGGGGUGCUCGAGUGGCGAACGGGUGAGUAACACGUGAGUAACCUGCCUCUGACUUUGGGAUAACUUCAGGAAACUGGGGCUAAUACCGGAUAGGAACUCCUGCUGCAUGGUGGGGGUUGGAAAGUUUCGGCGGUUGGGGAUGGACUCGCGGCUUAUCAGCUUGUUGGUGGGGUAGUGGCUUACCAAGGCUUUGACGGGUAGCCGGCCUGAGAGGGUGACCGGCCACAUUGGGACUGAGAUACGGCCCAGACUCCUACGGGAGGCAGCAGUGGGGAAUAUUGCACAAUGGGCGGAAGCCUGAUGCAGCAACGCCGCGUGCGGGAUGACGGCCUUCGGGUUGUAAACCGCUUUCGCCUGUGACGAAGCGUGAGUGACGGUAAUGGGUAAAGAAGCACCGGCUAACUACGU
Molecule: ribosomal RNA, 467 nt
Filed under: uncultured bacterium
Lineage: Bacteria
Description: partial 16S ribosomal RNA
Rfam family: Bacterial small subunit ribosomal RNA
Source: RNAcentral